Molecule: ribosomal RNA, 253 nt
Filed under: uncultured bacterium
Lineage: Bacteria
Description: partial 16S ribosomal RNA
Rfam family: Bacterial small subunit ribosomal RNA
Source: RNAcentral
UACAGGGGGGGCAAGCGUUGUUCGGAAUUACUGGGCGUAAAGGGUUCGUAGGUGGCUUGCUAAGACAGAUGUGAAAUCCCCGGGCUUAACCUGGGAACUGCAUUUGUGACUGCAUGGCUGGAGUGCGGCAGAGGGGGAUGGAAUUCCGCGUGUAGCAGUGAAAUGCGUAGAUAUGCGGAGGAACACCGAUGGCGAAGGCAAUCCCCUGGGCCUGCACUGACGCUCAUGCACGAAAGCGUGGGGAGCAAACAGG